RNAcentral lists this ribosomal RNA (740 nucleotides) under uncultured bacterium. Its description in RNAcentral is "bacterial SSU rRNA". It matches the Rfam family "Bacterial small subunit ribosomal RNA", at positions 9 to 794 of the family's 1533-position model. The record is from RNAcentral.
GAGUUUGAUCCUGGCUCCCAGCGAACGCUGGCGGCAGGCUUAACACAUGCAAGUCGAGCGGGCCCUUCGGGGUCAGCGGCAGACGGGUGAGUAACGCGUGGGAACGUGCCCUUCGGUUCGGAAUAACUCAGGGAAACUUGAGCUAAUACCGGAUACGUGCUUGGGCAGAAAGGUUUAUCUGCCGAAGGAUCGGCCCGCGUCUGAUUAGCUAGUUGGUGAGGUUAUGGCUCACCAAGGCGACGAUCAGUAGCUGGUCUGAGAGGAUGAUCAGCCACACUGGGACUGAGACACGGCCCAGACUCCUACGGGAGGCAGCAGUGGGGAAUAUUGGACAAUGGGGGCAACCCUGAUCCAGCCAUGCCGCGUGAGUGAUGACGGCCUUAGGGUUGUAAAGCUCUUUUCUCCGGGACGAUAAUGACGGUACCGGAGGAAUAAGCCCCGGCUAACUUCGUGCCAGCAGCCGCGGUAAUACGAAGGGGGCUAGCGUUGCUCGGAAUCACUGGGCGUAAAGGGCGCGUAGGCGGCUGAUCUAGUCGAGGGUGAAAGCCCGUGGCUCAACCACGGAAUGGCCUUCGAUACUGAUUGGCUUGAGACCGGAAGAGGACAGCGGAACUGCGAGUGUAGAGGUGAAAUGAGUAGAGAUGCGCAAGAACACCAGUGGCGAAGGCGGCUGGAUGUGCCGGUGAUGACGCUGAGGCGCGAAAGCGUGGGGAGCAAACAGGAUGAGAGACCCGGGGAGG